GCCUGCCUCCUCUUUAAUAAACAGGUGCAGCUGACAGAUGCUACAGAUCCCAUCAUGCCAUGCUCCACUCCCCUGCACCUGAGAUCAAGAUACACCUCCCUCCCAAGACUGCAUGUGGGGACAUGUGGUCUCUGCAGGCCAUGCCCAGAGUAGGCUGUAUGUGUGCACUCUGUGUGAAAAGGAUGAUAGUCAGCCAGGUGGAAUGGUCUUUGCUCUCCUUUGUCAGGUACUCUUCUCCAUCUCUCCUCCUCAUCUCUUUUCGGCAAUGACUUCACCUCCUCAAUUAUUAAUCCUCUUUUUGCAGCCCCAGCUGUGGUUGGAUUAAGCCCAUUAAACCUCCUCUGGGAUUGGCCCCAGAGAAGGAGGCAGGUUUCCAGGAAGUGCAUUAGAGAUGAGAGCACAGACAGGGAGCUGAGACAAACAGAAGGGGAGGAGAUGGCCUCUCUGAACAGCCUCCUCUGUUUCCCAUCAGCUAUGGUAUUGGUAGCCAAGGCAAGAAGCAAUGAUGAGUAAAAGGGGCAUCAUGUGAACCAUCUCCUUGCAGACUGCACCAAGCUGGAGCCUGGGAGAGCAUGACUCAGGAUGCAUUUUGGCCAUGAAAUUAGCCAUGGGACUCAGCCAGCAGGGGAGAAACAUCUAGAACAAAGCCCAGGACAAUUUAGCUCUCAAAUCUGGAUGCCUAACAAAGCAUGCUUGAACUUUCUUCCCCCUUGGCUGUCCCCAUUGCUUUUGGUAGCAGAGUAAGGGGAUUUGGACUAUAUGGCUCUCCCCACAGUAAGGGAGAAGCUGCUGAUCUCAUCUGACUUGCACUUACAAAUCCUGGGGGUUCUGACUAGCUGGUGUGUCUCUUGUGAAGUCAUCGCUGUUCCCUUGUAAUCGCCCUGAUUAGCAGACGGGAUGACCCAUCCCGCCUACUCUGCUCAGCCAGCUGUGCCCCAUACUGCACCGUAGCCACAUGGGCACACAGCGAUCACUGUGGGGCAAUUCUCCCCUUUACACCACUCUGGUGACAUAAAGAAGGCAGAAAUGGCCUCUGAAUACCCACUGUAAAGGGGAGCUCUCUGUCUGGGAUAGGGUUGUGCAGCCCCGCCCUGCCCUGGGCCCCAGCAUAGUGGGCGAGUCAGAAGCAUGCUACAGGAGCGUCUGCUGCUCUCCAUGCUGAGGUACAAACCUGCCACGACAGUGUAAAUGGCCCAGGGACAUCUCCAUGCUCCCGACCAGGACUUUGGCACAGGCCUAAAGGAGGCUGUCGGCAGAGAAUCAUCCUAGGUUUUACACAGGGUCCAAUGCAUGCUGGGAGUGUAGUGACUGCUGUGUGAACACUCAUGCAGGGCAGCUUGUCGAAGUGCCCAAAGGCCUGGGGGCAGAGGCAUCACAUUUAUGAGUGGUUGGUUGAUCGCUUUCUGCCUGUCCUUGCCUGUUUCCUCUGUGCAUGUCUGCACCACUGUUUCGCAAAGGCUGUGGCUCCCAACGAAAGGGCAGCUUAGUCAAUAAAACUUAGAGAUUGUAAGAGCGGGAGAGUGGGGGGCACUGCUGCCUGCUCAGGGCACUGGGACGGCACUGGUGCCCCCAGAAGGGGCCUAGAGCAGUUCAUGCCCUCUGGUGGCUGGGACCCUGUUGCAGAGCAUGGGGAAGGGCAGGCAUGGCUGAGGAUCUGUACAGCCACCCCACAACGCUGAGCAUCACUAUCUGUGUCUAAGGGCAAGGGGGUAUGCUGGGGACCGGCUGAGGUACCCACAAUGCUCCACUCCUAUUGCCCUGGCCAAUGUACGUACUAUGCUCUACUCCUACUGCCCCAGCUGAGGUACCCACCUCUGCUACUCUAGUGCCCUGGCCUGGUACCCACAGUGCUCUACUCCCAUUGGUGCAGAAGGGGGCGGGCUCUACAUGGUGGACACAGCUAGCAGCCAAUGAGCUGGCCUUCUUUGACGGAGGGGCCCUGAUUUAAGUAAGCCAGGC
This is a long non-coding RNA of Dermochelys coriacea (leatherback sea turtle), 1959 nucleotides long. RefSeq lists it as uncharacterized. The record is from RefSeq and is a predicted model, not a curated record. Lineage: Eukaryota; Metazoa; Chordata; Testudines; Dermochelyidae. The transcript has 2 exons.